Non-coding RNA from Nylanderia fulva, 409 nucleotides. The record is from RefSeq and is a predicted model, not a curated record. NCBI's taxonomy places the organism in Eukaryota, Metazoa, Arthropoda, Insecta, Hymenoptera, Formicidae.
GGAUAGGAAGCGACAGUCCAAGAGACCCGAAUGGCGAGAGUUAUUAACGGAUUCUCAUCCAUUCUUCCGGCAGUUGAACGAGAAGAAUUGGUCCCCAUUCAUCAGGAUUUCCAAAAUAAGAAAAAGACUAAGGGGUUCGAGACAAUUCAGCUCACGAAGCAUACCCAUUUGCCAUAUCUUAUCUGGAAGGAUACUGCGCGCGGCUGUUGGAGAAACGUAAAAUUCGGGAGUGCCGUUAAAAGUAUCGCGCGUACAAGUGCGGGAGUGCUGUUAAAAGUAUCGCGCGCGUUGACAAUCCUGACAAUCUAAGAGGAGGAGGAGGCCUUGGAGAGGCAUCAGGCACCGGCAGAGCAACCCUAAGGAGGAGACAACGCGUAGCUUGAACAUCAACUACUCCGCUGUUGUGCAU